CCCAAUAUAAGGUAGAUUGCCAAGCAAGGAGAGUAAGUAGUCUGGUCGCUUGUGGAGGAGGGAGAGAUGACAUCUGCAGAAUGGUAUGUGCCCACGAUCGAUGCGGUGCGAUAGGGAUCCUCGUGGCUGAGAGGCUCCAUAACUGGAAACUGAAGUUGCAAUCAAAGAAGAGAUGGUCCCGAGAUUCAGAGACGACGUUACGGAGGAGACAAGUUUGGUCAACUUGCAAUCCCCAUCUGAUCAGUCUGUCGCGUGUAGGAAGUCGAUCUUGUACCACAAGCCAGAAUGGAGAUUGUGUCUUGGUAUACCUCUAGAAGUCCAGAUUGGUCUAUGCCAUUGAACGUCCAUUCGCUCUUCACAAAGGUGGUAAUUGCCACAGCCCAUUCCUAGACAGAGAAGAGACAGUUGCGUUGAGAGGGAUACCCAAACGGUUUGUUGAGGCGGAGAGAUAGUCAUAGAGUCUGCCGAACGGAGUCCAGUUGUCAAACCAAAACCGCGCUGCAUUUCCAUUUUGAAGCCGAAGCUUGAUCAAGGGAAAAAUAGUGUCUCUCAGCUUUAGCAAUUUGUUGGCGAGCCAUGAGUAUGAUUGCUUUGGAGUUGUUGUCCAGUAGUUAUGAAUCGAGCCUUUGAGAAUAACUUCCUUGAACCACUUUACCCACACUGAGUCCUCCCUGAAGAACAACAUCCAUACUAGUCGCAGACAUCACGCUUUAUUCCAGGAACAUACUGCAUAGGGAAUUUAUUCUUGCGAUACAGGCUUUGAGUAAAAUGAAAGCUGAACACCAAAAUGUUGUUAUUCCAGCUAUCACAGUCUUGAUAAGGAGAAGCCGACCUGUAAACGAUAGAGACUUGACAGACCAGGAGGAGAACCGGGCUUUAACCUGCUGGAUUAGGGGCUCACAGUUGGUGAGGGAGAGCUUCCUCGAGUUGAGAGGAACACCUAGGUAGCGGACAGGAAGGGAACCUAGAGUCAUACCCGUUGAGGCUUGAAUUGUCUCCACUUCUGCAACUGAUA
This is a long non-coding RNA of Brassica oleracea var. oleracea, 1015 nucleotides long. RefSeq lists it as uncharacterized. NCBI's taxonomy places the organism in Eukaryota, Viridiplantae, Streptophyta, Magnoliopsida, Brassicales, Brassicaceae. The record is from RefSeq and is a predicted model, not a curated record. The transcript is spliced from 3 exons.